AAAAAAAAUAUCUACGAGUAUUUUAAAAUUUUGGGUCUCAAUAUGUAGUUUUGUAUAAAUGUUCUUCUUCUCUCUUCACCUUCGAGUUUCUUUCAUCACUUCCAUGCUCGUGUAAGAAAUAUCAAGUUAUGUCACUUUCGUAUGAGGUGGAGAGAAGUCGUGCAGGUAGUGACAAAGUAGGUUUCAUGUGAAGAUUUUGGAGUGAUCCAGCGGAGCUAAAUUGGUGGAAUCAGUAAACUCUUGGGGGUGAAUCACAUGGAAGGCAGUGGCGAAAGUGUUCAAGGUGAAUCACGUGUUCAGGCUCACGACGUUUCUCUGUCUCCAUCAUUGAGGGUUGUCGCUGCCUCUUCAUCAUCUCGUUGAACUACAGUUCAAGCAUGUUUAUUUCGGUCAAGCAGUGAUUGGACCCUCUCUGGACCCACUUCAAAGAAAGCUCCAUAGGAGUGAAGGUAGGAGCUAACCUAGGUUCUUUGGAAGGUCUUUGGAAGCUCAUUGAAGGUUGCAGGGUGUUCCAUCUAUUUCUAGGAAGAAGAUGCAAAUAAUCACACCUAAUGUAAGAGAAAUUGACCUUUAUUUUGUGUUUUGUGAUUGCUAUUUUUAUGAGGAAUUGGUUGUGUUGUUGGUUUUGAGAAAUUUGGUUUAGGAAAAUUGAUCAAAGCUACAUGGUGCAAAGGUUAGCUAGAGUAUAAUAUGAUAUUUUGUGUCCUUGGUUUCAACGAGUCUUGAUUAUUUGUAUUUAAUUUGCAGUGUUGACGUCAAUUGGGCAACUAUGAGCGUGGAUAUUAUGUAAUAAAACACAUACAUACCAUUAUUUGUACAAACUGAAUCAUGGAAUAAGAUCUUUAAUGAUUCAUCUCCGGUAGACAUUGAAGACAUUAGAAGGAACCGGGCUUCUUUUAUUAUAAGUGUUAGUAGAAACUUG
Long non-coding RNA from Vigna radiata var. radiata (mung bean), 922 nucleotides. RefSeq lists it as uncharacterized. The transcript is spliced from 7 exons. NCBI's taxonomy places the organism in Eukaryota, Viridiplantae, Streptophyta, Magnoliopsida, Fabales, Fabaceae. The record is from RefSeq and is a predicted model, not a curated record.